RNAcentral lists this ribosomal RNA (339 nucleotides) under Triticum aestivum (bread wheat). RNAcentral describes it as "partial small subunit ribosomal RNA". The record is from RNAcentral. Lineage: Eukaryota; Viridiplantae; Streptophyta; Magnoliopsida; Poales; Poaceae.
AUGGGCUUGAGAGGGGCUGGAUUCAGCAGCUCUUCAGCAGCAGCAAAGGACACCUUCCGGAUUGGGCCUGGCGCGACGGCAACCGCAGCUGGAGGUGGCCCUUCUAGGAGCGGAUCCGGGAAGGUGGACGAGCUUGUAGAGGCAUGGCACAUCGGCGGGGAGCCCAGAUCUGGCGUGGAUCCAGCCAGCGGACGAGGUCCCCAUGAGCAUACCUUGGGGUUGGGAAACCGGGAGGGAACCGCGGUGUUGCAGGGGAAAAGCAGGGCUGGGCGUGGGACGGCGCAGCGGCGGCGGCGUUGGUGGCUGCGGGCGCCGGAGCGGCGCGUCGCAGGAGCGUAA